This 433-nucleotide ribosomal RNA is filed under the name uncultured bacterium. RNAcentral's name for it is "partial 16S ribosomal RNA". It matches the Rfam family "Bacterial small subunit ribosomal RNA", at positions 29 to 507 of the family's 1533-position model. The record is from RNAcentral.
AACGAACGCUGGCGGCAUGCCUAACACAUGCAAGUCGAACGAGACCUUCGGGUCUAGUGGCGCACGGGUGCGUAACGCGUGGGAACCUGCACUUAGGUUCGGAAUAACUCCCCGAAAGGGGUGCUAAUACCGGAUAAUGUCAUCGGACCAAAGAUUUAUCGCUUUUGGAUGGGCGCGCGUUGGAUUAGCUAGUUGGUAGGGUAAAAGCCUGCCAAGGCGACGAUCCAUAGCUGGUCUGAGAGGAUGAUCAGCCGCACUGGGACUGAGACACGGCCCAGACUCCUACGGGAGGCAGCAGUGGAGAAUAUAGGACAAUGGGCGAUAGCCUGGUCAAGCAGUGCCGCGUGAGUGAUGAAUGCCUUAGGGUUGUAAAGCUCUUUUACCCGGGAUGAUAAUGACAGUACCGGGAAAAUAAGCUCCGGCUAACUCCGUG